Molecule: ribosomal RNA, 253 nt
Filed under: uncultured bacterium
Lineage: Bacteria
Description: partial 16S ribosomal RNA
Rfam family: Bacterial small subunit ribosomal RNA
Source: RNAcentral
UACGUAGGGUGCGAGCGUUAAUCGGAAUUACUGGGCGUAAAGCGUGCGCAGGCGGUUGUGCAAGACCGAUGUGAAAUCCCCGGGCUUAACCUGGGAACUGCAUUGGUGACUGCACGGCUAGAGUGUGUCAGAGGGGGGUAGAAUUCCACGUGUAGCAGUGAAAUGCGUAGAGAUGUGGAGGAAUACCGAUGGCGAAGGCAAUCCCCUGGGCCUGCAUUGACGCUCAUGCACGAAAGCGUGGGGAGCAAACAGG